Molecule: ribosomal RNA, 1058 nt
Filed under: Escherichia coli
Lineage: Bacteria; Pseudomonadati; Pseudomonadota; Gammaproteobacteria; Enterobacterales; Enterobacteriaceae
Description: partial 23S ribosomal RNA
Rfam family: Bacterial large subunit ribosomal RNA
Source: RNAcentral
GGAAAGGCGAAAAGAACCCCGGCGAGGGGAGUGAAAAAGAACCUGAAACCGUGUACGUACAAGCAGUGGGAGCACGCUUAGGCGUGUGACUGCGUACCUUUUGUAUAAUGGGUCAGCGACUUAUAUUCUGUAGCAAGGUUAACCGAAUAGGGGAGCCGAAGGGAAACCGAGUCUUAACUGGGCGUUAAGUUGCAGGGUAUAGACCCGAAACCCGGUGAUCUAGCCAUGGGCAGGUUGAAGGUUGGGUAACACUAACUGGAGGACCGAACCGACUAAUGUUGAAAAAUUAGCGGAUGACUUGUGGCUGGGGGUGAAAGGCCAAUCAAACCGGGAGAUAGCUGGUUCUCCCCGAAAGCUAUUUAGGUAGCGCCUCGUGAAUUCAUCUCCGGGGGUAGAGCACUGUUUCGGCAAGGGGGUCAUCCCGACUUACCAACCCGAUGCAAACUGCGAAUACCGGAGAAUGUUAUCACGGGAGACACACGGCGGGUGCUAACGUCCGUCGUGAAGAGGGAAACAACCCAGACCGCCAGCUAAGGUCCCAAAGUCAUGGUUAAGUGGGAAACGAUGUGGGAAGGCCCAGACAGCCAGGAUGUUGGCUUAGAAGCAGCCAUCAUUUAAAGAAAGCGUAAUAGCUCACUGGUCGAGUCGGCCUGCGCGGAAGAUGUAACGGGGCUAAACCAUGCACCGAAGCUGCGGCAGCGACGCUUAUGCGUUGUUGGGUAGGGGAGCGUUCUGUAAGCCUGUGAAGGUGUGCUGUGAGGCAUGCUGGAGGUAUCAGAAGUGCGAAUGCUGACAUAAGUAACGAUAAAGCGGGUGAAAAGCCCGCUCGCCGGAAGACCAAGGGUUCCUGUCCAACGUUAAUCGGGGCAGGGUGAGUCGACCCCUAAGGCGAGGCCGAAAGGCGUAGUCGAUGGGAAACAGGUUAAUAUUCCUGUACUUGGUGUUACUGCGAAGGGGGGACGGAGAAGGCUAUGUUGGCCGGGCGACGGUUGUCCCGGUUUAAGCGUGUAGGCUGGUUUUCCAGGCAAAUCCGGAAAAUCAAGGCUGAGGCGUGAUGA